CCUACGGGUGGCAGCAGUGGGGAAUAUUGGGCAAUGGGCGCAAGCCUGACCCAGCAACGCCGCGUGAAGGAAGAAGGCUUUCGGGUUGUAAACUUCUUUUAAGCGGGAAGAGCAGAAGACGGUACCUCUUGAAUAAGCCACGGCUAACUACGUGCCAGCAGCCGCGGUAAUACGUAGGUGGCAAGCGUUGUCCGGAUUUACUGGGUGUACAGGGCGGGUAGCCGGGCUGACAAGUCAGAUGUGAAAUUUCGGGGCUCAACCCCAGACCUGCAGUUGAAACUGGUGGUCUUGAGUAUCGGAGAGGCAGGCGGAAUGCGUAGUGUAGCGGUGAAAUGCGUAGAUAUUAGGAGGAACACCAGUGGCGAAGGCGGCCUGCUGGACGACAACUGACGGUGAGGCGCGAAAGCGUGGGGAGCAAACAGGAUUAGAUACCCGAGUAGUC
RNAcentral lists this ribosomal RNA (442 nucleotides) under uncultured bacterium. RNAcentral's name for it is "partial 16S ribosomal RNA". It matches the Rfam family "Bacterial small subunit ribosomal RNA", at positions 338 to 795 of the family's 1533-position model. The record is from RNAcentral.